GACGAACGCUGGCGGCGUGCUUAACACAUGCAAGUCGAACGGAAAGGCCCUGCUUUUGUGGGGUGCUCGAGUGGCGAACGGGUGAGUAACCCGUGAGUAACCUGCCCUUGACUUUGGGAUAACUUCAGGAAACUGGGGCUAAUACCGCAUAGGAGCUCCUGCUGCAUGGUGGGGGUUGGAAAGUUUCGGCGGUUGGGGAUGGACUCGCGGCUUAUCAGCUUGUUGGUGGGGUAGUGGCUUACCAAGGCUUUGACGGGUAGCCGGCCUGAGAGGGUGACCGGCCACAUUGGGACUGAGAUACGGCCCAGACUCCUACGGGAGGCAGCAGUGGGGAAUAUUGCACAAUGGGCGGAAGCCUGAUGCAGCAACGCCGCGUGCGGGAUGACGGCCUUCGGGUUGUAAACCGCUUUCGCCUGAGACGAAGCGUGAGUGACGGUAAUGGGUAAAGAAGCACCGGCUAACUACGUG
RNAcentral lists this ribosomal RNA (468 nucleotides) under uncultured bacterium. Its description in RNAcentral is "partial 16S ribosomal RNA". It matches the Rfam family "Bacterial small subunit ribosomal RNA", at positions 28 to 507 of the family's 1533-position model. The record is from RNAcentral.